Molecule: ribosomal RNA, 512 nt
Filed under: Hemimarginula sp. MNHN IM 2013-5916
Lineage: Eukaryota; Metazoa; Mollusca; Gastropoda; Lepetellida; Fissurellidae
Description: partial large subunit ribosomal RNA
Rfam family: Eukaryotic large subunit ribosomal RNA
Source: RNAcentral
CCAAGGAGUCCGAUACGUACGCGAGUCAUGGGGUCCUACGAAACCCAAAGGCGCAACGAAAGUGAAAGCGACGGGAGGGGCUUGCCCUUCCCGGCCUGGUGAGAUCCCCGCUGUAGGUAGUUGGGGCGCAUCACCGACCUGCCUGUCUGAAGGUGGAGUCUGAGCGUACGUGUCGGGACCCGAAAGAUGGUGAUCUAUGCCUGAGGUGGAUGAAGCCAGAGGAAACUCUGGUGGAGGUCCUAAGCGAUUCUGACGUGCAAAUCGAUCGUGUCACUUGGGUAUAGGGGCGAAAGACCAAUCGAACCAUCUAGUAGCUGGUUCCCUCCGAAGUUUCCCUCAGGAUAGCUGGCGCUCGAGUGACGCAGUUACAUCCGGUAAAGCGAAUGAUUAGAGGUCUCGGGGGCUGCUGGCCCUCGUCCUAUUCUCAAACUAUAAAUCGGGUGUGAUCCCGCGCCUCUCGUCUUUGUAUAGGAGGCCGGUGUUGAAUGCGAGUGCUUAGUGGGCCACUUUUG